Molecule: ribosomal RNA, 253 nt
Filed under: uncultured bacterium
Lineage: Bacteria
Description: partial 16S ribosomal RNA
Rfam family: Bacterial small subunit ribosomal RNA
Source: RNAcentral
UACGUAGGGUGCGAGCGUUGUCCGGAAUUACUGGGCGUAAAGAGCUUGUAGGCGGUCUGUCACGUCGAUUGUGAAAACUUGCAGCUCAACUGCAAGCUUGCAGUCGAUACGGGCAGACUAGAGUACUUCAGGGGAGACUGGAAUUCCUGGUGUAGCGGUGGAAUGCGCAGAUAUCAGGAGGAACACCGGUGGCGAAGGCGGGUCUCUGGGCAGUAACUGACGCUGAGGAGCGAAAGCGUGGGGAGCGAACAGG